CCUACGGGUGGCAGCAGUGGGGAAUAUUGGACAAUGGGGGGAACCCUGAUCCAGCGACGCCGCGUGAGUGAAGAAGGAUUUCGGAAUGUAAAGCUCUAUCAGCAGGGAAGAAAAUGACGGUACCUGAAGAAGAAGCCCCGGCUAACUACGUGACAGCAGCCGCGGGAAUACGUAGGGGGCAAGCGUUAUCCGGAUUUACUGGGUGUAAAGGGAGCGUAGACGGUGUCGCAAGUCUGAGGUUCAAGGUCGGUGCCCAACCCCGGGACUGCAUGGGAAACUGUGGAACUGGAGUACAGGAGAGGUAAGCGGAAUUCCUUGUGUAGCGGUGAAAUGCGUAGAUAUUAGGAGGAACCCCAGUGGCGAAGGCGGCUUACUGGACUGUAACUGACGUUGAGGCUCGAAAGCGUGGGGAGCAAACAGGAUUAGAUACCCCUGUAGUC
RNAcentral lists this ribosomal RNA (440 nucleotides) under uncultured bacterium. RNAcentral's name for it is "partial 16S ribosomal RNA". It matches the Rfam family "Bacterial small subunit ribosomal RNA", at positions 338 to 795 of the family's 1533-position model. The record is from RNAcentral.